UGGUAUGAAUGGUCGGACAAAAGAAGAACUGUCUUGGUAGUAUAGUUUGAAAUUUACAUUUAAGUGAAAAGGCUUAAAUAGAUCAAGGGGACGAUAAGACCCUAUAAAGCUUUAUAAAUAAGUUAAAUUUAAUUAAGUUAAGCAAUAAAAAUUAAGUUUGAUUGUUUUAUUUUGUUGGGGUGAUGUGAGUAUAAUUAUAAUUAACUGCUUAAAAGGAAUUCUGUAAUAAAAGAGUUAUAAUUAUAUGAUCCUUUAUAAAGAUUAAAAGACUAAGUUACUUUAGGGGUAACAGCGUUAUUUCUUUAGAGAGUUCAUAUCGAAAAAGAAGAUUGCGACCUCGAUGUUGAAUUAAAAUAUCUGUAUAAUGUAGCCGUUAUAAAAGAGGGUC
This 388-nucleotide ribosomal RNA is filed under the name Macromedaeus sp. DBS 002. RNAcentral's name for it is "partial large subunit ribosomal RNA". The record is from RNAcentral. Lineage: Eukaryota; Metazoa; Arthropoda; Malacostraca; Decapoda; Xanthidae.